Ananas comosus (pineapple) is the source of this 4262-nucleotide long non-coding RNA. RefSeq lists it as uncharacterized. The transcript has 4 exons. NCBI's taxonomy places the organism in Eukaryota, Viridiplantae, Streptophyta, Magnoliopsida, Poales, Bromeliaceae. The record is from RefSeq and is a predicted model, not a curated record.
ACAAAAGAGAAAGGAAGGAAAAGGCUUAAAUCUCUAAUUUCACUUCCCUCAAGCCUCAACCCUAGAGAGAGAACAAAAGCAAGGCUAAACCCUGGUUUCCCCCUGAGCUAACAUGAGAUAACCAUCAUCUGGGUCGAGCUGAGAAGGAUAAGGAUGAGUAUAAAAGGGAAAAAGACCAAAAACUCCUUGCUGCCACGCAGCUACUGCCUCUGCUGCUUGCUGUACCGGUACAGCAUCAUGCAUGUACCGGUACACCAAUACAAAAUGGCCAAUUUCGCAGGAGCAAUGCACAUUCUCGCUUCCCACAUCCCGAUCACUCUCAAACUUAUUCAUAAACAUCUUUAAACCCUUUAGAACAUGUAGGAAGGUUCUGAAUGUCAUUCCCCUUACUCGAACUUCGUAGUUUACACAAGCUUAGUAUACUACAAAAUCGGAGCCACCUCGACCUCCGCGCGCCGCCACCGCCCACCGUCGGGUGCGCCACCCUCCCUCGGCCUCCGGCUACUGAUCGUCAUCGCCCCGCCGCUCCUCCAGCCGCCACCUAGCCGCCGCUGCUUUCCUAGGCUGAGUCGAGCCAUGCAGGCUCGUAGAUCUCCACCGCGCCACCAGCCGCUCCCUGCCACCGGCCAACGCGAGCCCCGGCCCCCUCUGUCUGGCCGCAACCACCUCCGGCUAGCUAGCCUGUCGUCCGGCAGCCGCCGGCCGCCCCGUGCCCUACUGUGCUCCGAUAAGGCUAAUUACUGUUUUCUGCACUUUGUUACGGGUUCCGGUCGCCUUUUCGGCGAUCCGAGGAUACCCCGAUGCUCCCGAAAGUGAGCACGAUGAUCCCUACUUCGUGCUAAACAUCGUGCUCACCUCCGUUGGGGUCAACGAUGCCCCGGUUUGCGCGUUAGACGCGAUUUAGGCGUUGUGCGCGCUAUUUCGCUGAUGUUCGCGUCGCUCGCGCGCUCACCACGGUGGUUGGCAGUGCUCCGAAGUGUGAGCACGACUUCUGGCACGCCGAGACCUGUCAGCGGGUGUCUCGGCUUGGUUGAAUGAUCCUCGGUUUGCGCUAUCGGGCCAUAAAACCCCGAAAAUCACAUGAAACAAUGUGAUUUUAUGCAAUCGGGAGGGUUUUUAUGCAAUUGUGCGUGUUAUAGCUACUGUUGGCGGCGUGUGCGGGUAGCGGAUGACCUCUGGACUAGUUGUCCAAGGCUCCAAGCCUUUCCGGAAAUCAAAUGUUGAUUUUCCGUGUGUUUUUCGGCGAAAUCCGCCGAUGGAACACAUUUUCGGUUCGGAAUUCUUCCGACAAUGUCUCGUGAUAAUUUGUGACAUCGCUGGUCAACCGUGUCAUUUUGAGGGUUCGGAAACGACGGGUGAGCGACGGUGGGUUCCGGUGUCGAAUUGGACACUUUCGGAAACCCGGAUCGAAAUAAUUAUCCGAUGAUAAUCGUUUCAGAGUGAGUUAGUGUUUUUGCUGCCAAGUCACACGAAAAUAUGUAUUUAGUGGCAGCGGGCGACUCGUAACAUGAGUCGGUGAGUUUCGAGACAGUUUGUGGGUCCCGGUGGAGUUCCGGUGCGGUUUUUAGGACUUCCGACGUGUUCGGCAAUCGGUUUUAGGAAACCGAUUCUCGUAGGUUCACUGGUGGGGAUUGUGAGUUAGUGAUUCAUGUUAUGGGUUAGACGCUAACCCGGUGGACCUUUCGUAGGUCUGGUUGUGACUUCCUCCGCAGUUGGAAGGCCAGUACCAUAUUUGUACAGGUGGGUACUUCGAUUCGAAGUCGGUACUGUGGUGCACGCUCGGUGACGUUGCAGGUCCUAGUGGGACGGUUCGUGAGGAGCACGCUUAGUGAUCGAUAGAGCCACCGUCCCGUUGUUCGUUAAUUUUCUAACCUAGCUUCAUUUAAAUAAAUGACUUAGACAGUUAAUUGGUUCAGUGACUUAUCACUUUUGAAUUUAUAUGGUUUUAUGAAUGUAAUAAAGGAUUUGUGGAUUUUGUGAAAUGGAAAUGAUUUUCUACCCCUCGUGGUAGCGAGUUUUACAAGUAAAAGGUUUCCGUGUAGAAAAUAGUUUUUAAAAAGGUUUUCUCGUGGUUUUCAUGACUUAGUAUUUCAAAACGAGUUUCCGAGUAGGAAACAUUUUAAAGUAAUAGUUGUGGUUUUAUGGAUACUUGUUAAUUGAAACCAAUGUGAAUGUGAAUAGUAUAUGAUUAUCUGUGGAUGUUCAUAUGUGUGGUUGUCUUUGGUAUGGUAAAGUUUGUAUAUUGUACUUGUGCGACGCCGUGCAAAUACAGGGGAGACUCUAUCCGUGUGAACAGUGGAAUCCCUAUAUUUGUGGCGGAUCUGGCAUACCCUGGGGGUCAGGUUUCAAAAAAAAAAAAAAAUUUGGGCACUUCCGCUAUGAUUUUUAACCAAAAAGGGACCCCGGGGCGUGACAGUUUUUCCAUCCAUGAAUGUUCCUUCCUUAUACACAUGAAUUUUCAAAUAAACUUCAGCAUGUUGAGGCUCUUUCUUCUGUGGAUCAUAUUUCCUCUAAAAUAAACAUAAUAUAGUUUAGAAUAAUUACGUCUUAAAAUUAUUAAGAAAAAAGUAAAAAAUUAACAUUAUCAAUCACUUUAAUAUGAUAGAAAUUACCAUUUCCUCUGCAACAUGAGCAAAACUCUUUGUUCCUACAGUGUGAGUCGCCAUUAGCAUUGUACGAUUCCUUUUAUUUCUUGUGCUGCGUAACUGGGGCAUAUCAUAUUACAUUUAAAACUCAUAAAGCCACAUAGAAUCGUACACGAGUAAUUUAAUACAACAAAUAAUAACAUUUUUUAGCAAUAAGACAAUUUAUACCUGUCACGCCCCGCGACUGCCAAUUUGGUCAGUUCGGACACGUCAACAGACACCGAACGGACAACACCUCCCCUGUCCACCCAAGACUCCACCAACACAUGUAUAUCAACAACAACUCAAACAAGAGAAUGCAAGUAUACAUGGCUUGCACGAGGGCAAGCAACAACCAACACAAGUGAAAGUAAUCUAACUAUUACAUUCAUACAUUGUAAAUUGAUCAUUUUGAAUCAAAUAUAAAGCUUAUACAUUUUCUUUACAUCUAUUCUGUAACACACUGAACUUUAGCAAAUUGUAAGGUUCGAGUGUUUGAUUUGUGCUCUUAGCCUUUUUGGGUUUUCUGUUUGGUCGUUGACUAUGUUCCGACCUAUGAGUCGCAUCUCGAGGAGCGAGGGUGAAAACUUAGCACCAAAUCUCUAAAAUGAAGAAUUUAGGUUGCUCUUGGGUUUGCCUCUGUAGGGCAGAGUACCGGUACUACAUUGAUCCCGUACCGGUACUAGACCUGGUACCGAUACGGCAUCGGGCUGGUACCGGUACCCAGUGCAUUCUCUCGCCAACCCGAGGCUCGGGUUUGCGCAGACUGCUGCUUGGUAUCGGUACUCUUUCUUGUGUCACCGGUACGCAGUGCAGUUCGCAAACUGCAGUUUUUUAAGGAUGUUUUUGAUAUUGUAGCAACUCUAUAAAGCACCCCACGCCCCUUCUAGGACUCCCUGAGCUUGGAAUAGUGGAGAAACAGGUAGGGGACCUCUCCACUUCCCCUUUUUGAUUUUCUUCCCGUUUUCUUGGAUUUUUAGAGGAUUAAUCACCUCUUUUGCUCCCUUUUGGCAUUAUGGUGGCUUUUUCUCCAUGGGUGAAGCCUUGGAGCAUUGUUUAGAGCUUGUUUGAUCUAGCACCAUCCUAGCUAGGUUUGGAGCAUCAAGGGAGGUUAGUAAGCUUGAUCUUCCCUUUAGAUCAUAUUUUUGGAGGAUUUUUGUGAAUAAACCUAGAAAUGAGAAAUCUAGGGUUUAUUUGGGGAUUUUUGAUUUGUAGCUUUUGGAGUUCAAUUGAUUGGUUUAGAACCUCCCUUUAGGUUUGUUUUGAAUGGUUUUAGCUCUCAUAUGGAGAUUGAGAGAGACUUUCACCAUACAAGGGUGCUAGGAGGCAAGUGGACACCUUCUUUUGCGCAAACGAAAGGGUUGCAAAGAGUUCUUGAUGGGUUUGACCUCACCGAAAUGGAGCCUUCCGCACCGGGUGAGGCUAGGGAUCACAGCAAGGGUGUCGCUACUAGCUAGUUGCGAGGGAUUUCUCUUUUAGGUGGUUCACCUCUCUUUUUGUUUUAUUUGGAGAGGUUGAAAGUUUUGUACCUUGUAGAGACCACCAUUUUUGUAUAUCUAGCACUUGUAUUUGAAACAUAUGAUGUAUCUACCUUAUGUUUUAUGUUAGUGGUUUAGUUCUUUUCUCCACUUGCUAUUA